AUGUUGCAGGUUGAAGAUAGCGAACUUGCUGAUGUUGCUGCAGUAAGCGCUGGAAAUAACUACGAAAUUGGCAACAUGAUAGCUGAUGCUAUGAGCAAGGUUGGGCGACAGGGGGUGGUUACACUUGAAGAAGGGAAGAGUGCCGAAAACAACCUCUAUGUGGUUGAAGGGAUGCAAUUCGACCGCGGCUAUAUUUCUCCCUACUUUGUAACCGACAGUGAAAAAAUGUCAGUGGAGUAUGAGAAUUGCAAGCUGCUUCUUGUGGACAAGAAAAUUAACAACGCCAGAGAUCUCAUCACUCUUCUGGAGGACGCUAUUAAGGGUGGAUAUCCAAUUUUAAUAAUCGCAGAGGAUAUUGAGCAGGAAGCUCUUGCAACUCUUGUGGUCAAUAGGCUUAGAGGUGCACUGAAGAUUGCUGCUAUUAAAGCCCCUGGUUUUGGAGAGCGCAAGAGUCAAUACCUGGAUGAUAUCGCUACUCUGACAGGAGGCACUGUCAUCAGAGAAGAAAUCGGACUGUCCCUGGACAAAGCAGACAAAGAAGUUCUUGGAAAUGCCGCCAAGGUUGUAAUUACUAAGGAUUCGACAACAAUUGUUGGAGAUGGUACUACACAGGAGGAAGUAACCAAAAGGGUUACACAAAUCAAGAACCAAAUUGAGGCUUCUGAACAGGAAUACGAAAAAGAAAAGCUAAACGAGAGGAUAGCUAAACUAUCCGGUGGCGUUGCUGUCAUUCAGGUAGGAGCACAGACUGAAACUGAGCUUAAGGAAAAGAAACUGAGGGUUGAAGACGCACUGAAUGCAACAAAGGCCGCUGUGGAGGAAGGUAUUGUUGUCGGUGGUGGUUGUACCCUUCUAAGGCUUGCAUCAAAAGUUGAUGCCAUUAAAGAAACCCUUGAGAAUGAUGAACAGAAGGUCGGUGCUGAAAUUGUGAGGAAAUCCUUGAGCUAUCCUCUUAAACUGAUUGCGAAAAAUGCUGGUGUCAAUGGCAGUGUGGUCACUGAGAAGGUCCUUGUGAACGACAACUUCAGGUACGGCUACAAUGCCGCUACAGGGAAUUAUGAGGAUUUGAUGGCUGCUGGUAUUAUUGAUCCCACCAAGGUUGUGAGGUGCUGCCUGGAGCAUGCCGCAUCGGUGGCGAAAACAUUCAUCACCUCGGACGCCGUCGUGGUCGACAUCAAGGAAUCUGAGAAGGCGCCUGCCGCAAACCCAAUGGCCGGUUCAGGUUAUGGGUUCUAA
Molecule: ribosomal RNA, 1236 nt
Filed under: Triticum aestivum (bread wheat)
Lineage: Eukaryota; Viridiplantae; Streptophyta; Magnoliopsida; Poales; Poaceae
Description: partial small subunit ribosomal RNA
Source: RNAcentral